Molecule: non-coding RNA, 73 nt
Organism: Stegodyphus mimosarum
Lineage: Eukaryota; Metazoa; Arthropoda; Arachnida; Araneae; Eresidae
Source: Rfam
GCCUUCGUGGUGUAAUGGUCAGCACGCUCGACGCGUAACCGAGAGGUCCGUGGUUCGAUUCCCGGCGAAGGCG